CCUACGGGAGGCAGCAGUGGGGAAUAUUGGACAAUGGGGGGAACCCUGAUCCAGCCAUGCCGCGUGUGUGAAGAAGGCCCUCGGGUUGUAAAGCACUUUCAGUGAGGAAGAACGCCUGGUGGUUAAUACCCAUCAGGAAAGACAUCACUCACAGAAGAAGCACCGGCUAACUCCGUGCCAGCAGCCGCGGUAAUACGGAGGGUGCGAGCGUUAAUCGGAAUUACUGGGCGUAAAGCGCGCGUAGGUGGCUUGAUAAGCCGGUUGUGAAAGCCCCGGGCUCAACCUGGGAACGGCAUCCGGAACUGGCAAGCUAGAGUGCAGGAGAGGAAGGUAGAAUUCCCGGUGUAGCGGUGAAAUGCGUAGAGAUCGGGAGGAAUACCAGUGGCGAAGGCGGCCUUCUGGACUGACACUGACACUGAGGUGCGAAAGCGUGGGUAGCAAACAGGAUUAGAUACCCUUGUAGUC
Molecule: ribosomal RNA, 465 nt
Filed under: Vreelandella stevensii
Lineage: Bacteria; Pseudomonadati; Pseudomonadota; Gammaproteobacteria; Oceanospirillales; Halomonadaceae
Description: partial 16S ribosomal RNA
Rfam family: Bacterial small subunit ribosomal RNA
Source: RNAcentral